Molecule: ribosomal RNA, 62 nt
Filed under: Aspergillus ruber
Lineage: Eukaryota; Fungi; Ascomycota; Eurotiomycetes; Eurotiales; Aspergillaceae
Description: partial 28S ribosomal RNA
Rfam family: Eukaryotic large subunit ribosomal RNA
Source: RNAcentral
UUGACCUCGGAUCAGGUAGGGAUACCCGCUGAACUUAAGCAUAUCAAUAAGCGGAGGAAGGG